GCGGUGGUGGCGGAAUUGGUAGACGCGCUAGCUUCAGGUGCUAGUGUCCGUUAGGACGUGAGGGUUCAAGUCCCUCUCUCCGCACCA
This 87-nucleotide transfer RNA is filed under the name Vibrio cincinnatiensis. RNAcentral's name for it is "tRNA-Leu". It matches the Rfam family "tRNA". From Rfam's summary of the family: Transfer RNA (tRNA) molecules are approximately 80 nucleotides in length. Their secondary structure includes four short double-helical elements and three loops (D, anti-codon, and T loops). The record is from RNAcentral. RNAcentral also lists the same sequence under 5 other names. Lineage: Bacteria; Pseudomonadati; Pseudomonadota; Gammaproteobacteria; Vibrionales; Vibrionaceae.